This is a long non-coding RNA of Mastomys coucha (southern multimammate mouse), 257 nucleotides long. RefSeq lists it as uncharacterized. NCBI's taxonomy places the organism in Eukaryota, Metazoa, Chordata, Mammalia, Rodentia, Muridae. The transcript has 3 exons. The record is from RefSeq and is a predicted model, not a curated record.
AGCCGCGGCAUUUCAACCACGCUAAAACAGAAGAGGCUAGAAGAUUUAAACACUGACUCAAAAGGAGCGUGAGUUCAACACUAGCGUUCAUCUGUCUCUUCUUCCCGAGUGUGUAUACAGUGUAUCCAGCCGCUUCAAGCUCAACCAGCGCGCCUUGCCGGCUAUGGUAUAUCUCCACACCACAAGCAUGCAGGGCCUGUGGAGGCCAGAAGAGGGAGACAGAUUCUCUGGAACUGGAGUUAUAGAUGGCUUUGGAU